UACGUAGGGGGCAAGCGUUGUCCGGAUUUAUUGGGCGUAAAGCGCGUGUAGGCGGCCUGACAGGUCUGCUGUGAAAACUCGAGGCUCAACCUCGAGAUGUCGGCGGAAACCGUCUGGCUAGAGUCCGGAAGAGGAGAGUGGAAUUCCUGGUGUAGCGGUGAAAUGCGCAGAUAUCAGGAAGAACACCCGUGGCGAAAGCGGCUCUCUGGGACGGUACUGACGCUGAGACGCGAAAGCGUGGGGAGCGAACAGG
Molecule: ribosomal RNA, 253 nt
Filed under: uncultured bacterium
Lineage: Bacteria
Description: partial 16S ribosomal RNA
Rfam family: Bacterial small subunit ribosomal RNA
Source: RNAcentral